GUGUCAGCCGCCGCGGUAAUACGGAGGGUGCAAACGUUGCUCGGAAUCAUUGGGCGUAAAGCGUGUGUAGGCGGCCUGUUAAGUCGGGUGUGAAAGCCCCGGGCUCAACCCGGGAAGUGCAUUCGAUACUGGCAGGCUUGAGUACGGGAGAGGGUCGCGGAAUUCCCGGUGUAGAGGUGAAAUUCGUAGAUAUCGGGAGGAACACCAGUGGCGAAGGCGGCGACCUGGACCGAUACUGACGCUGAGACACGAAAGCGUGGGGAGCAAACAGGAUUAGAAACCCUGGUAGUCC
RNAcentral lists this ribosomal RNA (292 nucleotides) under uncultured bacterium. Its description in RNAcentral is "partial 16S ribosomal RNA". It matches the Rfam family "Bacterial small subunit ribosomal RNA", at positions 505 to 796 of the family's 1533-position model. The record is from RNAcentral.